Molecule: non-coding RNA, 1208 nt
Organism: Vicugna pacos (alpaca)
Lineage: Eukaryota; Metazoa; Chordata; Mammalia; Artiodactyla; Camelidae
Source: RefSeq, a predicted model, not a curated record
AGGCGGAAGAAUUUCAACAGCUACGCUGCACACUUGCUGGAAGAUUGCAGGCUCAAAGCAAAGAGCUAGUGAUUUUGCCAACUUCCUGGAUAUUCAUUCUGGUUCUGCACAAAAGAGCCCCAUUUCCUUCUGGAAUCGGGACCAGGACACAGACACAGCAGCCGACCCUGGAAACUGUCGUGAGGAUUUGAGAUUGUGAAUGAAAAGGCCAGGCCCCUAGCAUGUGCCAGAUCGAGGCCGUCAUGGCCAUCUGUGGGUCAGCUCCCGGAGCCCAGGGUCAAAAGGGCUGAUGGGCCCCCUGGCAUCACAUCUUGGGCCCCUACAAGCGGGGCGACCCUGGGUGUGCCCUCUCCGUGCUGGUGCUGCCCUGGGAGCGUGGCCCCCAGACUGGCAGCCUUGCCGUCGUGGGAGUCUGUUGGAAGUGGACUGUCGAGCCCCACCCAGCCCUCCUGAGUCAGAACCAGGGCUUUGUGUGCACCGGCCUGGAGCACACGGAGACAGAGGCCACCUGUCCCAGAGGAGGCUCCCUCUCCCACUCCUGUGCCCUGCCGUUUGUGUGAGCGGUGCCCGAGCUGCUGGCCUGAGGAAGCAUGGGAGAUGUGCAGAGCGAGCUGGGUCGCCCCAGCCGUCCCCGCAGAACUACGACGUGUGACUUCUGGAGAUGCCUGCGUCCUUGGCUCGUGGCCCCUCCCUCAAUCCUCCACAGCGGAAGUGCUGCACCUCUCCAUCUUCUUUCUUCAUCUCCCUCUGAUCGCCUCUUCUACCCCCAUCUCCUGCUUUCAAGGACCCGGUGAGCAGUGGGCCCACCUGGGGAAUCUGGCAUCCUCUCCCCAUUUCAGGGUCACCUGAUUAGCAACCUUAGUUCGACCUGCAAACUAUGUUUCCCUUCACCAUGCUACCUAACGUUUGGCAGGUUCUAGGACUAGGGUGUGGGCGUUUCUUGCUGGCGGGUGGGGAGGGCAGUGUGUCAUUCUGUCUCCCACAGCUACCACAUUUCCAUGACCUGUCCUGUCAUGGUCUCAUGAUGGCUGCUGUGUCUCCAGACAUCAUGUCUGUAUUCAAGGGAGGAAAGGGGGAGAAGGCUUCCAGGACAGCACCAGCUGGGUGUCUGCCUUUUUAUCAGGAAAAUAAAAGGUUUCCCAAAAGUGUCCUAACAGACUCUGUUUACAUCUCAAGGGUCGGGGCUAGGUGGCUUGGCUGCGUCUAGU